This 465-nucleotide ribosomal RNA is filed under the name uncultured bacterium. RNAcentral's name for it is "bacterial SSU rRNA". It matches the Rfam family "Bacterial small subunit ribosomal RNA", at positions 28 to 507 of the family's 1533-position model. The record is from RNAcentral.
GACGAACGCUGGCGGCGUGCCUAACACAUGCAAGUCGAACGGAGAUAUGAUUUCGGUUGUAUCUUAGUGGCGAACGGGUGAGUAACGCGUGAGCAACCUGACUCUUAGAGGGGGAUAACACCCGGAAACGAGUGCUAAUACCGCAUAAGACCACGACAUGGCAUCAUGACGAGGUCAAAGGAGCAAUCCGCUGAGAGAGGGGCUCGCGUCCCAUUAGAUAGAUGGCGGGGUAAUGGCCCACCAUGUCAGCGAUGGGUAGCCGAGCUGAGAGGCUGAUCGGCCACACUGGAACUGAGACACGGUCCAGACUCCUACGGGAGGCAGCAGUGGGGAAUAUUGGGCAAUGGGCGCAAGCCUGACCCAGCAACGCCGCGUGAGGGAAGAAGGCUUUCGGGUUGUAAACCUCUGUCCUUGGUGACGAAAAAAUAGACGGUAGCCAAGGAGGAAGCCCCGGCUAACUACGUG